RNAcentral lists this long non-coding RNA (1979 nucleotides) under Carica papaya (papaya). Its description in RNAcentral is "long non-coding RNA (CPAP_LNC004871)". Lineage: Eukaryota; Viridiplantae; Streptophyta; Magnoliopsida; Brassicales; Caricaceae. The record is from RNAcentral.
GGUUGAAAAUAAUUGUUUGAGUCAAAGGAACAAUUGGGUAGAGAGAUGGUUCUGUAAGGAAGGGCAAUUGAGAGGGACAAAAUGAAAGUUGAAGAGAGAGUCGUGAUUUAAGGGAAAUUAGGCAUGAAGAUUGUAGAGAUGAGACACAAGUCAGACUGGUCGUCAUCUUGGCAUGUGGUUUGUCUGCUCUUCCUUUGACACUUUUCUCUGUUUCCACAACUGCCUCUCUCCCUCCCUCCCUCAUGGGUAUAUUAUGUGUCUGUGUAUAUACGUACAUGUGCAUGUGUUUGUGUAUGUGUAUAUACGGAAGAGUCAUGUGAUUGUUUCUUUUGUCCAUCAAAGCGUGUCUCGCACACAUGACAGGGUUCGUGUCAUGUGUAUACUGACUGGUUCACUACAUGAUUCUAUAUGACUAUGCAUAUAAAUAACAAAAAGGGAAUGUAGCAUUUUAGAGAGAAUUCAAAUUUUCAUUAAUUAACUAAUUAUUUAUUUAUUUAUUAUAAGCCCAUUUUCACAUGUUCAUGUAGAUGUAACAGUAGGAACUAAAAUAUGGAAUUCAACAUGUCAACAUUCCAGCCUAUUCCGGUCCAAAUAAAAAAGUGAAAAUUCACAAUCAAUUUCUUUAUAUUCCGAAAUCAACCGAGCCGGCCUAUGUAUAAUAUAUAUAUAUAUAUAUAUUACAGGCAGUAUGGUCCAUUUGGGUUUGUCUCCAAAACUGAUGUUGGGGCCCAUCUAUGGAAAAGCACAGUGCUGGUUCUCGAGCUGGACAUUUUAAGAGUUUCAUACCUCUAAAACUCAAAAUAUGCAUGUGAUUAUAACUUUGUUCUCACUCUGAAACUCGAAGGAUAUUUUAUUAUUCUCCCCUACCUAAAUAACUAUCAAGUGCUUUUUUUUUUUUUUUUUUUUUUUAAUCCUUAGUUACAAGCUUAUGCUAUCUAUAUAAAAAAAAAAAUACUUGGAUACAAACUCUCUUUUAAGUAUGCAUUUUUCUUUUUCUAUAUUUAAUUUUAAUAUUAUAUUUUCUAUUAUAAUAAAAACAAUAAUAAUUAUUAUUUUUUUAUUUAUUUUAAAUGCUCUGAAAUAAAUAUAUAAGACACACAACUUUUAAUAUUAUUUUUUUUUUCUUAUCAAGUUCCAACCAUUUUUAAUUUCAUUUUCAUUAACUAACAUUAUCUAUGAGAAUAAAUAAAGGACCAUAUGACUAUAAUGACAUAUAUAGUAAAAAGAGAGAAUCUUAGAGUAUAUAACUUAAAAAUUUACUUAGUCACAACUUCAUUCUUUAACAAUAGCUUUAUAAUUCAGUCAGGGAUAUUAACGAAAGAAACCAAAACAUUAACUCUAUUCAAACAUCAACCUAUGGAUACAAGAGCUGGCCAUAAUCUCUUAUCUAACAAGGUAACUUAGACUUAGAGUAGAUGAUGAGUAGUCUAUAAGGCAAGAGGACUUGAACCAAAACUAAAAAAGAUGUAGCAAUACUUCUAAGCGAUAAAACAUAAGAUCUUCACUAAUCAUAUUAAGGUGGAAUAUAUUAACCAAAGUAAUCCACUUGUCUUAUAAAGAAAUUUUAGAUUUAAAAAAUUCAUAUGAUAUAAACAUAUGAGGUAAUUAUAUUAUAAUUUGCGCUCUUUAAACUUGUUAAAAAUUUUGUAUUUUUAUGUUUUAAAUGUUUUACCAUUGUUCAAUUUACUUCUUUUGUCAUUUUUUUUAAGGUACAUUCUAGCGAUGAAAUUAGUUCCUCACUGUGGCAUUCGAGAAGUCAUCUCCCAAUUUGAUGAGUUUCUUACUUUCACCUUAUAAGCUAUUCGACCAACGUAUGAACUUAUUUUAGUUAUCAUGCAUGCUCUGUGCAUCACUAUAGAAUGUGUCAAUUAAUGAAAUCAAUUAUUAUAGAAGUAACUAACAAGAAUUUAUAAAGUUAAUGCCAAUAAAAAAAAAAAAAAAAAAACUAAUAGGUUACUAUCAAUAUCGUUGGUUACUUG